GAACAAGGUUUCUGUAGGUGAACCUGUGGAAGGAUCAUUAUUGAAACCGACCCUUUUGCGUUUGGGAGUUUGGCCAGGACCUCACCGUCCGUAAGUGCCGACUCCCAAUUGCAUUCAUUCUCUCACACCCGUGACCACCUUCAGAGGCUGACCGUGAAAAGGUUGACCUACCCUUUCCUCACAAACGUGUAACAGAAUGUCAUUCGUUUAAAUAAAAAAUACAACUUUCAACAACGGAUCUCUUGGCUCUCGCAUCGAUGAAGAACGCAGCGAAAUGCGAUAAGUAAUGUGAAUUGCAGAAUUCAGUGAAUCAUCGAAUCUUUGAACGCACCUUGCGCCCCUUGGUAUUCCGAGGGGCAUGCCUGUUCUGAGUGUCUUGACACCAGUCGACCCAAAUUUGCUUUUGGGCUCGGAUCUUUGGACACCUGCGGCCCUCGUGCCGCUUGUCCGAAAUGCAUUAGCCACAAUGCGCCUCUCGCCGCCAUCGUGCGGCGAGCCUGGCAUGGGAGAGUAGGUAGACCAGCCCUCCAAACUGCUCAAAGUUGGUGCUUUGUGGCUCCAAACCGUCUUGUGCAAAAGACAACAAACCAUCAUAUUGGCCUCGAAUCAUGAGGGACUACACGCUGACU
Molecule: ribosomal RNA, 629 nt
Filed under: uncultured fungus
Lineage: Eukaryota; Fungi
Description: eukaryotic LSU rRNA
Rfam family: 5.8S ribosomal RNA (bases 223-377)
Source: RNAcentral